UAGGGAAUAUUGCUCAAUGGGGGAAACCCGUGAAGCAGCAACGCCUCGUGGAGGAUGAAGGUUUUCGGAUUGUAAACUCCUUUUGUUAGAGAAGAUAAUGACGGUAUCUAACGAAUAAGCACCGGCUAACUCCGUGCC
RNAcentral lists this ribosomal RNA (138 nucleotides) under uncultured bacterium. RNAcentral's name for it is "partial 16S ribosomal RNA". It matches the Rfam family "Bacterial small subunit ribosomal RNA", at positions 355 to 509 of the family's 1533-position model. The record is from RNAcentral.